GUGCUUGCCUUAGCAGCAUGUACACCAAAAUUAGAACAAUACAGAGAAAAUUAGCAUGGCUCCUGCACAAGGAUGCCAUGCAAAUUCGUGAAGCAUUCCAUAUUUUU
Zalophus californianus (California sea lion) is the source of this 107-nucleotide small nuclear RNA. NCBI's taxonomy places the organism in Eukaryota, Metazoa, Chordata, Mammalia, Carnivora, Otariidae. The record is from Ensembl.